RNAcentral lists this long non-coding RNA (1287 nucleotides) under Heterocephalus glaber (naked mole-rat). RNAcentral's name for it is "lncRNA (ENSHGLG00000044570.1)". Lineage: Eukaryota; Metazoa; Chordata; Mammalia; Rodentia; Bathyergidae. The record is from RNAcentral.
GCUGAAUGAUAAUGUCCACAUUCAGGGCAGGUCUCCCUCAUCAGCAUGUGGCCGUUCUGCAUGCCGAUUGUCUCAUAGACCAAUCCAGAAGUGUGCUUUACUAAUUUCACAGACAUCUGUGAUUCUAAUCGAAUCGACAAGAUUAUCUGUGGCACAUAUACUCUUACUACUUUGAUGUCAUUUUUCCUUUUUUCAGAAACUGAAUUUUACCUCUGUUUUCCUCUUUUUCUUUAUCCUCUUUGUUCUCACCCUCUUCCUCAACCAGAGAAAGGAAGAAUUCUUGGCAUUAAUAAGCAGCAUCAAGAGUUUAAAUAUAUCUCAGCUAAGUUACCCAGGCUGGCUUUGAAUUCCUGGGCUCAAGUGAUUCUCCUGCAUCAACCUCCCACGUAGCCAGGACUACAGGGACAAGAAAACAACAUAUGCCAAGGCAAGUGGCCGUGACACAGCAAGAAAAGCUUGAGAAAAUCAGAUGAGAGAUUUUCUAAAAGUAAGAUUUUACAACAGAGAAAUUAGGUCAUUUUGACCUUUUAAAUUUGUAUAAUGACCACAUUGAGAACACUGAUAUCUGCUCAGUACUUUGCCACCUACGAUCCCAGGCCCUGGAUUUAUAAGAUAAGUAGGAAUCAGAUAUUUCAAACAACUUGACCUUUUGUUGUAACCUUUAUUCCAGCCAAACCAUUGCUGUUCCCCAGCACCAGCUUCUGAACUUUUCCUUGUGGAUUCCCACCAUAUUACUUUCUUGAAAAUUGUCUCAUCUAUCCUUGGAUCUCAUUUCAAAUGCUGCCUAACUCAGGACACCAUUUAUCUCCCCCAAAGGUCUGAGCCUUGUCACUUCUCAUGCCUCCCUUUGGAUCUUUCUGUUUAGUUGACUUUCCUUGCUGUCACUUGCAUGCUUGCAUGUCUUUAGCCUGGGAUGCAAAAGUCCAUGAGGGCCAGGAACGAUGUCUUAUCCAUCUUUUCAUCCCCCUUAGAAAUUCAUGCCCCACACAUUUCACACAUAGUACAUGUCAUCUAAAUAUUAAUGAAUUUGAAUUUAGCUAGUCAAACCAUCUUUUGUCUUAUAGACAUAGAGAGUGAGAGCUAAUCCAUAGUUAGUUGUAAAGAGUUCUGGAUCAUUGAAUGAAAGCUGCUUUUCAGCAGAUCAUAAUUGUGCAAGGCUGUUAAGUGUAGACUUUUGAUGAACAGGUUUUGCUCUGUUGCUGAGUUCAUGUUGCCAUGACAACCUUAACUUUUGGCACUUUCUGAAUUUAGUGUCCUACUUAAUUUCCCGUGUUUGGCUCUGAGAAC